This 1020-nucleotide ribosomal RNA is filed under the name Triticum aestivum (bread wheat). RNAcentral's name for it is "partial small subunit ribosomal RNA". The record is from RNAcentral. Lineage: Eukaryota; Viridiplantae; Streptophyta; Magnoliopsida; Poales; Poaceae.
AUGUGCUCCAUGAUCCGAAGGUUUGUCCAUCUAAUUGUUCACGAUGUCAAGGGUGGGGCUGGUGGUGGUGGUUACGCCCUGCGGAACAUUGAUACCAAGCCGCUCUUUGCGGGUAUUGGUGGUGGCAGCACGAGUAUGGCAGUCACUACUCGAUUACCACGCCCAGCUGCCUUCUUUGAGUCUGCUAACACGGACAAUAACAAUCACACAGAGUUUUUCCUCCUCGGCAGCAAAAUUGUUAGUGUCAACAUGAACCGGCGCACAGUCUUGUAUGACAGUUUGACUUCGGGUAUAUCUGGUGGACCUGACCUGCGGCAUUGUAAGUUCGUCCACCCUGCCUGGGCAGCAAUACGAGGCAAGCUCUACAUCACCAACAUGUUGCCACACAACUACGGCAAGCCCUGUUUAGAGGCACUGCGUUUCGACGACGAGCUUGAGGAUUGGCUGUGGGAUCUGCUCCCCUCGCCGCCCUUCUUUGACGAGCCGUUCAGGAGUGAUAACACCAUACAGUGUUACGCAGCCGGGGAUGAAGAGAAGAUGUGGAUAUCAACAUUGGGCAGAGGCACCUACACCUUCGAUGCCGCUACUGCCACAUGGUGCAAAGAAGGUGGCUGGACGCUGCCUUUUGAAGGCCGAGUGCAAUAUAUACCUGAGUAUGGCAUCUACUUUGGAUUCUCCAAGAGAUUGAACAAGCUGUGCUCGGCUGAGAUGAUCGCUGGAGCUAAGGCCUCGGAGCCCCCGGUGCACAAGCAAGUAUGGGACAAUGUUGAUGUUUACGUUGGUGAGGGUUGGCAUUUGGCCCAUUCUUACCUCACCUAUCUUGGUGAGGGCAAGUUCUGCGUUACAAGGUUCUAUGACACUAGGCGUGAAUGGGAUGACUGGUGCAUUCCUCUGAGCAAUGUUGCUGUCAUGUCGGCUCUCGAAAUGAGACUUGAUGCCAACACAGGCGAGCUCAAAAUGAUCAGAGGGGCUUCCACCCGUUACAAGUUCCCCGACGCAGUGCACGGCUGGGCUCUGUGA